Molecule: long non-coding RNA, 1199 nt
Filed under: Apis dorsata (giant honeybee)
Lineage: Eukaryota; Metazoa; Arthropoda; Insecta; Hymenoptera; Apidae
Description: uncharacterized LOC116185919, transcript variant X2
Source: RNAcentral
CUUCUUCAGAAUUGCUAUAAUUUUGCAAAUUUUUUAGUUACGGAGGUAAAUUUGAGGGAACAUCAGAGAGAAAAUAUUAUUCUCUUCUCGUUAUUUCUAUAAGAGAGUCUGUAUAAAAUUUCUUUUUAUUUUACAGAAGAAAGUAUGCAUCAAGGCCAAGAAGGAGCAGAAUACACGUGUUUCAAAGGACAGGGAGGGAUGCGCCUAGAUACCUGGGUUGAUAUUUAAUAAAACCAAAGCGGUGGCCAAGACAAAGGGAUACUUGCUCUGAAAAUACGAGGAGCCAACGCAGGCAAUAAGCGGGAAAUUUUAAACGAAAGAUCGGCGAAUGAUUCAUCGAUGGAAAAGAAGGAGCGUUGAAUUGUCGUGGACGCGCCACCCUCUGGGUAGCCCAGUAUCGUGACCCAGUCUGGGUUAAAAGUGUUACAGAAUGGCCACUUCCGCAUAGCAGUAAUUUUCGAAAUCCAUCACUGUCUCCCUUCUUUCACGUUGAGGAUUCUCGAAGGAGGAACGUAUCUACGAAAAAGGGGUUUAAACGGGUGCCGCGCAUUCAGCGAAAGAUCUCCUCUGGUCGGUUCAUCUUGAUCGUCGAUCCGCUCGAGGCCUUGGCAAUCGAACGACGAGAGAGAGAGGAACGAGACGAAAUAAUAGGGAACGAGGUGAGAUAGGAGAGAGAGAGAGGGGAGAGAGGUUAUACAACGGUGCUUAUAGCGAUUAAGCAGCGUCAGCAUCAGCAACUGCAGCAGCGAGCCGACCAGCGAGCCGGCAGCAAUAGGCACACCGGAAAGCAGCGGGAACAACAACAGCGGCAACCAGGUUGCGGCUGUAACGUGGCUCUCGCAUUGGCAGCGAUAUCGAUCGAACCUUCGCCUUUCACCGGCCAUUGUCCAGAACGGUGCCAGCGCUGGAAAUCUAACUGCCGAUAAUUGCCUUCGAACCCGUCAAGUCAUACGCUGUAAUAGCAUAAUAACCGGGGCUAAGCGAUCAGAUUAAGGGAAUGACCGCCCUCCCAUGCCUGCGGCAAGGGUAAACCCUUCCAGAUUUGCGUUAUCCGUCGAGCCUCGCUAUCGUUACGAUGCAGUGAGGUACUUUCACUGUUUCUCGUUUCUUUUUCUUCUUCUUCUUUUCUCUGGUAUAUGGAGGAAUUUGUAUAUGGAUGUUUCAUGAUUUGUGUAGAUGUGAUGUAUUUAGAGUGGGUA